Molecule: ribosomal RNA, 321 nt
Filed under: uncultured Prevotella sp.
Lineage: Bacteria; Pseudomonadati; Bacteroidota; Bacteroidia; Bacteroidales; Prevotellaceae
Description: bacterial SSU rRNA
Rfam family: Bacterial small subunit ribosomal RNA
Source: RNAcentral
GAUGAACGCUAGCUACAGGCUUAACACAUGCAAGUCGAGGGGCAGCAUGAACUUAGCUUGCUAAGUUUGAUGGCGACCGGCGCACGGGUGAGUAACGCGUAUCCAACCUCGCCCCGAGGUCAGGGACAGCCCGGCGAAAGUCGGAUUAAUGCCCUAUGGUCUCCUUUGAGGACAUCUGAGGAGGAGUAAAGAUUCAUCGCCGAGGGAUGGGGAUGCGGCUGAUUAGGAAGCCGGCGGGGUAACGGCCCACCGGUCCUUCGAUCAGUAGGGGUUCUGAGAGGAAGGUCCCCCACACUGGUACUGAGACACGGACCAGACUCC